Long non-coding RNA from Patella vulgata (common limpet), 995 nucleotides. RefSeq lists it as uncharacterized. Lineage: Eukaryota; Metazoa; Mollusca; Gastropoda; Patellidae. The transcript is spliced from 3 exons. The record is from RefSeq and is a predicted model, not a curated record.
UAAUUUUAAGUAAUAUGUCACACAUCAAUGCAUCUUUAAACUAUCCUGUUCUGUACACUCUUCUAACCAGUGAGUUCGAGUUCAUCAUCUGGUCACUGGGAUUCAAUUUUCACCUUUGACCCAAAGGUUUCUUGGAUUUGUAUUUCCUAUCUCCUUGGUCACUUACUUAUAGAAUCUUGUAGUGUGAGGUUGAAUAUUUCAUUCAACCUUGGUAGUGAUUUUAUAUUUAAAGUUUCAAUAGUUUCAUUUAUUCGUAUCAAUUGUGUGUAUUUGGUAUUGGAAGAAUUAUUAACUACAGAUUUAUUAUUUACAGUUUAAAGGUAUGUGUGGCUAUUUGUUUUAUCAGUUUUAUAAGUUUAUAUAUAUUUUAUUUGUCUUUGUUAAAGUUGGCGGACAUGUUGGUUUUUGUUAAUUACAUUCUGCAAAUACAAGGCAUACAGUUUACAAUAGUAAUAAUAGUAACGCUAUUUAAAGCAUUUCGCUUUAAUAAUAUAAUUAAUAUCAAAUACCCCAUAUUUUAUUACAGACAGAGCUAUAAGGUACUUCACCUUGUUUCCAGACUCUGGUUACUUUAUUAAAAACCCCUUCAUGGGGUUUUUAUUAUAAGGUAAUAAAUUGCUGUUUUACUGAACCCUUGGUGUGGUUAUUUACUUAAUAUUUGACCCCCUACAACAUUUGGAGCCCGAUAAGGGACUACAACAGUUGAAACCUAACAAGGUGUACAACAUUUGGAGUCCGAUAAGAUGUAAUAGUAAUGGUUUAUGGUAUAUGGAAAAAAAAAACAGUAAUGGUGUGAAUUGAAUUUUCUCAACAGUGAGCUCACACGCGUGCGCGUUCGCGAAAUCUCCUGAAGGAUCGUAUGUGGUAGUGCAGUGACAUUAACUUUAUUUGUGUGUUUUCAUUUCUGUGUUUCAUAUUUGGAUCAUUAUGAGGAUAUCUAUAUAAGGUUUGUUAAAAUCUAUUUAAUUUUCAUAUAUGUAUUGAUAUGUGAAUUA